GGAAGGACUUGGGGCAGAAGAAGGAACUAGACAGCCGAGGCGGAACCCUGCUGUACCUCCCUAGAAACGCUAUAGGAAAGCGUACCAGAAUUUACAGUGUCACAGAACUGCCAGGUACAUAGCAUGGUGGCUGCCACAGAUGGGGAUCUGCUUGUGGUUAGAAGGAUCUGGCAUUAUUGACUGUGGCCAACACAUGGAAACAACCAAAGUUUCCUUCGGCAGAUGACUGGAUAAAGACAAUGUGGCACAUAUAUACAGUGGAAUACUACUCAACCGUAAGAAAAGAUGAAUAUGGCCAUUUGUGACAACGUGGAUGGAUCUUAAGAAUUUCAUGCUAAGCGAAAUAAAUCAGAAAAUGUUAAAAACUAUAUGAUUUCCGUCAUAUGUGGGAUGUAAAACAGAAAACAACAAAUGAACAAACAAGACAAACA
Long non-coding RNA from Myotis myotis, 431 nucleotides. RefSeq lists it as uncharacterized. The record is from RefSeq and is a predicted model, not a curated record. NCBI's taxonomy places the organism in Eukaryota, Metazoa, Chordata, Mammalia, Chiroptera, Vespertilionidae. The transcript has 3 exons.